GACGAACGCUGGCGGCGUGCUUAACACAUGCAAGUCGAACGGAAAGGCCCUGCUUGCAGGGUACUCGAGUGGCGAACGGGUGAGUAACACGUGGGUGAUCUGCCCUGCACUUCGGGAUAAGCCUGGGAAACUGGGUCUAAUACCGGAUAGGAGCCAUUUUUAGUGUGAUGGUUGGAAAGUUUUUUCGGUGUAGGAUGAGCUCGCGGCCUAUCAGCUUGUUGGUGGGGUAAUGGCCUACCAAGGCGGCGACGGGUAGCCGGCCUGAGAGGGUGGACGGCCACAUUGGGACUGGGAUACGGCCCAGACUCCUACGGGGGGCAGCAGUGGGGAAUAUUGCACAAUGGGCGCAAGCCUGAUGCAGCGACGCCACGUGGGGGAUGACGGCCUUCGGGUUGUAAACUCCGUUCGCUAGGGACGAAGCUUUUUGUGACGGUACCUAGAUAAGAAGCACCGGCUAACUACGUG
This 465-nucleotide ribosomal RNA is filed under the name uncultured bacterium. RNAcentral's name for it is "partial 16S ribosomal RNA". It matches the Rfam family "Bacterial small subunit ribosomal RNA", at positions 28 to 507 of the family's 1533-position model. The record is from RNAcentral.